AUACGUAGGGGGCGAGCGUUGUCCGGAAUGAUUGGGCGUAAAGGGCGCGUAGGCGGCCCGGUAAGUCUGGAGUGAAAGUCCUGUUUUUAAGGUGGGAAUUGCUUUGGAUACUGUCGGGCUUGAGUGCAGGAGAGGUAAGUGGAAUUCCCAGUGUAGCGGUGAAAUGCGUAGAGAUUGGGAGGAACACCAGUGGCGAAGGCGACUUACUGGACUGUAACUGACGCUGAGGCGCGAAAGAGUGGGGAGCAAACAGGAUUAGAUACCCUGGUAGUCCACACUGUAGACGAUGAAUGCUAGGUGUAGGGUGUAUCGACCCCUUCUGUGCCGCAGUUAACACGAUAAGCAUUCCGCCUGGGGAGUACGGCCGCAAGGUUGAAACUCAAAGGAAUUGACGGGG
RNAcentral lists this ribosomal RNA (397 nucleotides) under uncultured bacterium. Its description in RNAcentral is "partial 16S ribosomal RNA". It matches the Rfam family "Bacterial small subunit ribosomal RNA", at positions 523 to 918 of the family's 1533-position model. The record is from RNAcentral.